This 426-nucleotide ribosomal RNA is filed under the name uncultured bacterium. RNAcentral describes it as "partial 16S ribosomal RNA". It matches the Rfam family "Bacterial small subunit ribosomal RNA", at positions 355 to 774 of the family's 1533-position model. The record is from RNAcentral.
UGGGGAAUAUUGCACAAUGGGCGCAAGCCUGAUGCAGCCAUGCCGCGUGUAUGAAGAAGGCCUUCGGGUUGUAAAGUACUUUCAGCGAGGAGGAAGGCGUUGUGGUUAAUAACCGCAACGAUUGACGUUACUCGCAGAAGAAGCACCGGCUAACUCCGUGCCAGCAGCCGCGGUAAUACGGAGGGUGCAAGCGUUAAUCGGAAUUACUGGGCGUAAAGCGCACGCAGGCGGUCUGUCAAGUCGGAUGUGAAAUCCCCGGGCUCAACCUGGGAACUGCAUCCGAAACUGGCAGGCUAGAGUCUUGUAGAGGGGGGUAGAAUUCCAGGUGUAGCGGUGAAAUGCGUAGAGAUCUGGGGAAUACCGGUGGCGAAGGCGGCCCCCUGGACAAAGACUGACGCUCAGGUGCGAAAGCGUGGGGAGCAAACA